RNAcentral lists this ribosomal RNA (539 nucleotides) under uncultured Bifidobacterium sp. Its description in RNAcentral is "bacterial SSU rRNA". It matches the Rfam family "Bacterial small subunit ribosomal RNA", at positions 513 to 1050 of the family's 1533-position model. The record is from RNAcentral. Lineage: Bacteria; Bacillati; Actinomycetota; Actinomycetes; Bifidobacteriales; Bifidobacteriaceae.
AGCAGCGGUAAUACGUAGGGUGCAAGCGUUAUCCGGAAUUAUUGGGCGUAAAGGGCUCGUAGGCGGUUCGUCGCGUCCGGUGUGAAAGUCCAUCGCUUAACGGUGGAUCUGCGCCGGGUACGGGCGGGCUGGAGUGCGGUAGGGGAGACUGGAAUUCCCGGUGUAACGGUGGAAUGUGUAGAUAUCGGGAAGAACACCAAUGGCGAAGGCAGGUCUCUGGGCCGUUACUGACGCUGAGGAGCGAAAGCGUGGGGAGCGAACAGGAUUAGAUACCCUGGUAGUCCACGCCGUAAACGGUGGAUGCUGGAUGUGGGGCCCGUUCCACGGGUUCCGUGUCGGAGCUAACGCGUUAAGCAUCCCGCCUGGGGAGUACGGCCGCAAGGCUAAAACUCAAAGAAAUUGACGGGGGCCCGCACAAGCGGCGGAGCAUGCGGAUUAAUUCGAUGCAACGCGAAGAACCUUACCUGGGCUUGACAUGUUCCCGACAGCCGUAGAGAUAUGGCCUCCCUUCGGGGCGGGUUCACAGGUGGUGCAUGGUC